This 323-nucleotide unclassified non-coding RNA is filed under the name soil metagenome. RNAcentral describes it as "partial contains 5.8S ribosomal RNA, internal transcribed spacer 2, and large subunit ribosomal RNA". The stretch from base 1 to 120 matches the Rfam family "5.8S ribosomal RNA", at positions 35 to 154 of the family's 154-position model. The record is from RNAcentral.
GAUGUAGAACGCAGCGAAAUGCGAUAAGUAAUGCGAAUUGCAGAAUUCAGUGAGUCAUCGAAUCUUUGAACGCACAUUGCGCCCUGUGGUAUUCCGCAGGGCAUGCCUGUUCGAGCGUCAUUUCAACCCUCAAGCUCUGCUUGGUGUUGGGCCACGCCCUCGCGGCCGGCCCAAAAGCCAGUGGCGGCGCCGUCCGGCUCUAAGCGUAGUACAUCUCUCGCUCUAGGGCCCGGCGGCUGCCUGCCAGAACCCCAAACUCUUAUGGUUGACCUCGGAUCAGGUAGGGAUACCCGCUGAACUUAAGCAUAUCAAUAAGCGGAGGA